GUGAAUAUGGAUGCGCUUUCUUCGGUUUUUUUCUCUGAAAGUCACAGUAGAAUAUCUCUUUAGUUGUGGCUACUAGGCCUACUCUAUUUCUGACUGUUGGACAAGCAAAGCAAUCUUUACUACAAGAUUUGCUAAACAAUCUGCUGUUUGCUAGUUGACUCAUUUGCAUAAUUCACCAGACUAUUGUCUCAUCACAAUGAUGUAUUAUGAUGGUAAUGAAUAUUCAUUGUCAGACACUUGAAACUACUAAAAUCAGGAAACUGCUGAAAUGACACCACAGCAAGAGCAACUUCUAGAUAGCAUGCACAUGUGCGUUUCACCACAGCAAGUCAUGCACGUUGUAACCUUCUACCACUUGGAUAGGCCAGUGAACAUUUUAAAAACCAUUGCAAAGAUUUCAGCAAACCGGUGGACACACCCUGCUCAGCUCAAUGGCUAUAAUGUUGCUUUCUGGUUUUGUGCUCGUUAAUUCUGAAUGAAAUUCUGAAGAAAAUUUAGACAUUGCACCUCUGCAACAAGUGGACCAGCCCUGCUUGGCUGAAUGGCGAAUUUUGCUUCCUCUACUGAAUGAAUGUGGCGACUGAAUUGGCAAUUAAAGUUUUCUAUUUCAAAUAAAUAUUCUUUGCAAUUUAAUAUCGUUUUGGAAAUAUUUUGAAUAAAUAUUCAUUGUAAUUUAGUAUUUUGAAUAAAUAAAUAUUCAUUGU
Molecule: long non-coding RNA, 704 nt
Organism: Anneissia japonica
Lineage: Eukaryota; Metazoa; Echinodermata; Crinoidea; Comatulida; Comatulidae
Exons: 5
Source: RefSeq, a predicted model, not a curated record